This 467-nucleotide ribosomal RNA is filed under the name uncultured bacterium. RNAcentral describes it as "partial 16S ribosomal RNA". It matches the Rfam family "Bacterial small subunit ribosomal RNA", at positions 29 to 507 of the family's 1533-position model. The record is from RNAcentral.
ACGAACGCUGGCGGCGUGCUUCACACAUGCAAGUCGAACGGAAAGGCCCUGCUUUUGUGGGGUGCUCGAGUGGCGAACGGGUGAGUAACACGUGAGUAAUCUGCCCUUGACUUUGGGAUAACUUCAGGAAACUGGGGCUAAUACCGGAUAGGAGCUCCUGCUGCAUGGUGGGGGUUGGAAAGUUUCGGCGGUUGGGGAUGGACUCGCGGCUUAUCAGCUUGUUGGUGGGGUAGUGGCUUACCAAGGCUUUGACGGGUAGCCGGCCUGAGAGGGUGACCGGCCACAUUGGGACUGAGAUACGGCCCAGACUCCUACGGGAGGCAGCAGUGGGGAAUAUUGCACAAUGGGCGGAAGCCUGAUGCAGCAACGCCGCGUGCGGGAUGACGGCCUUCGGGUUGUAAACCGCUUUCGCCUGUGACGAAGCGUGAGUGACGGUAAUGGGUAAAGAAGCACCGGCUAACUACGUG